AUUGAACGCUGGCGGCAGGCCUAACACAUGCAAGUCGAGCGGAUGAAGGGGGCUUGCUCCUGGAUUCAGCGGCGGACGGGUGAGUAAUGCCUAGGAAUCUGCCUGGUAGUGGGGGAUAACGUCCGGAAACGGGCGCUAAUACCGCAUACGUCCUGAGGGGGAAAGUGGGGGAUCUUCGGACCUCACGCUAUCAGAUGAGCCUAGGUCGGAUUAGCUAGUUGGUGGGGUAAAGGCCUACCAAGGCGACGAUCCGUAACUGGUCUGAGAGGAUGAUCAGUCACACUGGAACUGAGACACGGUCCAGACUCCUACGGGAGGCAGCAGUGGGGAAUAUUGGACAAUGGGCGAAAGCCUGAUCCAGCCAUGCCGCGUGUGUGAAGAAGGUCUUCGGAUUGUAAAGCACUUUAAGUUGGGAGGAAGGGCAGUAAGUUAAUACCUUGCUGUUUUGACGUUACCAACAGAAUAAGCACCGGCUAACUUCGUG
RNAcentral lists this ribosomal RNA (484 nucleotides) under uncultured bacterium. RNAcentral's name for it is "partial 16S ribosomal RNA". It matches the Rfam family "Bacterial small subunit ribosomal RNA", at positions 30 to 507 of the family's 1533-position model. The record is from RNAcentral.